Molecule: long non-coding RNA, 4582 nt
Organism: Patella vulgata (common limpet)
Lineage: Eukaryota; Metazoa; Mollusca; Gastropoda; Patellidae
Exons: 4
Source: RefSeq, a predicted model, not a curated record
GCAUGCAUCACUGAUUAAAGAUGAUAUGCAUCACUGAUUACGGACAAUCAGACCGAUUACAGGUGAUGUGUGUCACUGAUUACAGAUGAUAUGCAACACUGAUUACAGAAGAUAAAACAGGCGAUGUCUUCGAUGAGGAAGAAGAUGAAAAGGUGGUGAUUGAAAAAGAAUAUUCAAAAGUAAAAGAAAAAUUAGAAAAGGAAGGUUAUAGAGAAGGUCUGGAACAUGGACACGGUAUUUCCAUACAGCAGAGUUUCAACAAGAGUUAUAGAUUCACUGCAAAUAAAUUAUAUCGCCUGGGAAAACUAAAAGGACAAAUAAAUGCUGUUCUCUCCAUUGCUCACAAGAAACCUGAAAUACUGAAACCAAAAACCAAGGAUGGUUUAGAAGAUUUGUUGUCGAGUUUAUCGGAAUACGAACAGAAAUUAUUGUCACGCUUAAAAGAAACAGAAACAGCUAGACUGAUAGUAAAUGAAUCCGCUCGUGUCACCGAUCAGACAAGUAGCCUGUACGUCGAAGAUGAUUUCUCAGAUUUCUUGGGAUUAAAAUCAGAUGCAAGUAGCGAGUCAGAUGUAUCAUGUCCUAAGGAAGUAAAUUGUGAGGUCAAGGAUGACAUGAAGUUGUGUACGGAACACACUCCGAAUAAGACUGUUGAAGAAAUCUCUGAAACUCCUGAAGUCCAGCUUCGAGAUCGCAGAAUCUCAACGACGCAGAAACAAUUUCAACUUCUUUUGGAAGGAAUAGAUACAGAAAUUGCAACGUUUGAAUCAAAAUACGCUGCAUUAAUGGCUGAACAAUUUUAACUUUUUUUAAAAUUUUUAUUGUUUUUUAUUUGUCAUUUCAACUUGCUUUCUUUUGUAUUUUUGACAUAGAUAUGUAAUGUUUAUUCAUAUUUGAUAAAAUUAUUUAUGCAAUUGUUCUGCAUUCUCCAGAAAUAAAUGGAAAACAAGUUUUCAGCAGUAUAUUAAAAAAUCCAAAUCAGCCAAGAGCAAUAUUAUCUUGUAUGAUUUUAGUGCUCAGCCAAUGAAUCAUCAGUAUUCUUAAAAUGUUUUAGUUUAAAUUUUCGUGAAAAGGGCUCAAGAUCUAGGAAAGAACAAGACCUGAUUAAACGGUAUAGGAAUGAUUACAAGACCUGAUCCGUUUUACAUCCAUCAUACACACAAAGACUAAAUAAACAUUUACGAUUUUAUUAAAUUAAAGUAGAAUAAAUUCUUCUCAAUAUUCCCUAAGAGUACUUAGUGUUUUCGACUAAAAUUGUUGAUGCCGGACUUAAUAUGUUGAUCAACUAGCUUGGUUCAUGUCUGUUCUAAAGCAGAGCCAAUUGUAGACUGACAGUAUUAAGUUUAGUAUGAGUGUUAACAUGUAGUAAUCCAAAAAAUGUUGGUUCUUUAAGAAUAGAAACGGUUCAGACAGCUAUCCAUAAAUAAUGUGGUUGUAUCUGAGGACCAGAAUAUAUUGUUUAUCUAGCCCCAUGUUGGAGAACAUUGCCCUAAAUCUGGCCCCAUGUUGGGGAACAUUGCCCUAAAUCUUCCCCAUGUUGCGGAACACUGCCCUAGAUCUUCCCCAUGUUGCGAAACACUGCCCUAGAUCUGGCCCAUGUUGUUGAAUAUUGCCCUAGAUCUGGCCCCAUGUUGCGGAACACUGCCCUAGAUCUGGCCCCAUUUUGGGGAACACUGCCCUAGAUCUGGCCCCAUGUUGGGGAACACUGACCUAGAUUAUAUCUGUAAAAGUUUAUCUAUAAUUGGUCAGCUGAUGUCAGUUUAUUAAAGAUGUAGAUUGCACUGUUAUAUUGUCUUCCUCUAUAUGCCAUGUCCAGGCUAAAUAAUUGUAAUUUGAGUAUCUUGAGUAUGUUAUGACUGUUCUGCUUCUGUUCCUACUGUCUUCACCAUGUGCAAUUCUCAAUAUCUCAGUGGUUGACUUGGUGGAGAUAAAUGGAUCCGAUGAUGGAAGUCUUAAUGUUGCUUCUCAACCGUAUCAACCUGUGAUUCUCAGAUAGCCACACAAAGCAUGGGAAAACGCACAAACAGCAGCUGUAUCUUAACUCCAGCUUAUCCGAAACGAAAAUUUGGAUGUUGAUCGGGGAUCUUUCAAGAAACUAUGAGUCUAGUUAUAAAAAAGGAAGUCUAGUCUUUGGUGUUAGUGGUAUUUUUGUUGAAUUUUAAUUAGGGUUUCUCGGAGAUGCUAAGUGUGCCUGAGUUUUGCCGUAUCAUGCAAAGUGUUAGUGUUUAACAUCGUACUAUUCUGUAUAAACUGGGCUAAUGAAGACGGAAAUAUUCUAUAAGAGAAAUUGUGCCCUGGAAGCCUACUAUUAUUUCAAUUUCCAACUGUAAGGGCAUUUUUAACAUGAUGCCAAAGAUGUACACUGAAGCUUGAUUUGUGUUUCUCUCUGAAAUACUAGAUACUUGUCCUUGCCAGACCCUCCGUCCUGCACCACUGACAAGGGUAAACCAUCGCCUUGUUCGGUACUGGCCAGGACCUUUAAUAAGUGAGCCAGCACCUAACUCACUUAGCCACUGUGGCACUAAAUUGUUUCAGAGAUAAGAUUUUCUUUUUUAUUGUCAUUACACAAAAUGCCAUCAACAGAAAAGUCAUAUGACCAUAAUAGCUAUUUAUUGACCUUCUCCCUUUUGUGAGUUUAGACUUGCUUUGUUCCCUUGCUAUUAAAAUUUGCUUGUGUGUUUUUUUCAGGAAUUUUACCUGGUAAACUAGAUUUCAAAACUACUUUACAAAAACUUGUUAUAUAAUAACGAUUUUCAUUUAGUGGUUUCUAAAUAAACUUAUUAUAUAAUAACGAUUUUCAUUUAGUGGUCUCUAAAUAAGCUAAUUAUAUAAUAACGAUUUUCAUUUAGUGGUUUCUAAAUAAGCUUAUUAUAUAAUAACGAUUUUCAUUUAGUUGUCUCUAAAUAAGCUUAUUAUAUAAUAACGAUUUUCAUUUAGUGGUUUCUAAAUAAGCUUAUUAUAUAAUAACGAUUUUCAUUUAGUUGUCUCUAAAUAAGCUAAUUAUAUAAUAACGAUUUUCAUUUAGUGGUUUCUAAAUAAACUGUCACUGUACCUUUUGAGAGAGAGUAAAUAUAAUUAGCCAACUGGUUGAUCGGUUUAUGUUUUACUGCCAGAAUUUUUCACUAAAUAAUUUUCAAAAAUGUGUAAAAUAUAUCUCAUUAUUUUCAUGUAUUUUCGUCUGAAUAAAUUGUUUAUUUGCUCAUGCCAUUAAGUGACUUUGCUGUAAAUUUAUAUCCAGAGAGUAAAUGUGAUUAGCCAACUGGUUGACCAGUUUAUGUUUUGAGGGUCGUCUUGGAAAUGUUUCUACUGGUCUACCGUUUUUAUUUGGGGCGGGGGACUGUUAGAUAUAAAUGAAAACUUUAUUUGUUAGGAGAUCGUUGAGAUAAUAAAUGGUGUUUUUUCCAACAAACUAAAUCAACACUGUGUUUCACUAUGAUGCUGGAGACCGACCAAUUUGGCACUGUUAAACAUUGAAGGUUACUUUUUCUCAGAAAUUGAACUUUUUGGAUAUCACUGAUUCUUUUAGUGCAUUAAAGGUACUUAAACUAAUUUUAUCGAAAUUUGUGUUUGAUAUAUAUUAUUGAUUUAAGAUUGUACCCUUCUAAAUAAUCUAUAUUCAAAUCAAUAACAAAAUAUUACAUGAUUCAAUUUUAGUAUAAACUUAAUCUAUUUUAGGUAGGGAGCUAGAAAAGAGCACCCAUUUACUUAAGUGAGUCAGGGGCCCCAUGCACCUUGAUAGGCAUGGAUGACCUGUUACUAGAAGUUAGAAAGAUGCAUGUUGUACAAGUGUCUUGGUUUGGCUUGGUCCCGGGUUUUGAUUUGGUUCUUUAUGUCUUGUUUAAAUGAAACCACGGUUCCCUAUUGUUGUCACAGGGUAUCUAUUGUUGUCACAGGGUAUCUAUUGUUGUCACAGGGUACCUAUUGUUGUCACAGGGUACCUAUUGUUGUCACAGGGUAUCUAUUGUUGUCACAGGGUAUCUAUUGUUGUCACAAGGUACCUAUUUCAUAACAACAAAGGACCAGGUGACUAGAAAGCUUUUAUUAUCAAUUUUUUCUCAUCAAUUUCUAGUGACAGGGGUAGGGUCGCCUGUCCAACCUUGUGGGUUUUUCUCUGGGUCCUCCGGUUUCCUCCCACUGCAAAAGACCCCUACACGCAAGCAAAUUAUUGAAAUAAAAUUGAACCAUAUGUUAGUGUCGAGUGGACAUUAAACCCCAUCUCUCUCUCUCUCUCUCUCUCUCUCUCUCUCUCUCUCUCUCAAACCAUCUGCAAGAUCUCUUUUUUAUCAAUCAAGCUGUUUAUCUGGUAUUGUGUAAUUCAUAUUUAUUGAUAUGUUUAUAUAUUAUACUUAUUAUUGUUGUGUGACGCGUGUACUCACAUCUAUUGAGUACCGAAUUAUUUUUUACUUUUACUAAAUAAAACCCAAUAGCCAAGCCAAACUGGGUACCAGGUCAAGUCAAACCGCUAUAAAAUAAUAUUAUAUGGAGUUGAAUUUGUGUUUUUAUUAUGAAAUUUGUUGCUUUAUUAUUUAUUAAGAUUGUUAAAAAAAAAAUAAUGUGUUUAUUAAACUAUGGUUUAGAUGUU